UUCGUAGGUGGUGCGGCGAGUUGGAAGUGAAAUCUCUGGGCUUAACCCAGAGGCUGCUUUCAAAACUGCCGCGCUCGAGUGCGAGAGAGGUCAGUGGAAUUGCAGGUGUAGCGGUGAAAUGCGUAGAUAUCUGCAGGAACACCCGUGGCGAAGGCGGCUGACUGGAUCGCAACUGACACUGAGGAACGAAAGCUAGGGGAGCAAACAGGAUUAGAUACCCUGGUAGUCCUAGCCCUAAACCAUCAGAACUUGGGGUGGCCCGCGUAGGCGGGUCGUCCCGUAGCUAACGCGUUAAGUUCUGCGCCUGGGGAGUACGGUCGCAAGACUAGAA
This 331-nucleotide ribosomal RNA is filed under the name uncultured bacterium. Its description in RNAcentral is "bacterial SSU rRNA". It matches the Rfam family "Bacterial small subunit ribosomal RNA", at positions 568 to 899 of the family's 1533-position model. The record is from RNAcentral.